CACGUAGUUAGCCGUGGCUUCCUCCUCAGGUACCGUCAUUAUCGUCCCUGAAGACAGAGCUUUACAAUCCGAAGACCGUCAUCACUCACGCGGCGUUUCUGCAUCAGGGUUUCCCCCAUUGUGCAAUAUUCCCCACUGCUGCCUCCCGUAGGAGUCUGGGCCGUGUCUCAGUCCCAAUGUGGCCGAUCACCCUCUCAGGUCGGCUACGCAUCGUCGCCUUGGUGAGCCGUUACCUCACCAACUAGCUAAUGCGACGCGGGUCCAUCUCAUAGCGGAUUACUCCUUUAAUUGCUAUGCCAUGCGGCAUUACAAUCUUAUGCGGUAUUAAUCUUCCUUUCGAAAGGCUAUUCCCCUCUAUGAGGCAGGUUACCCACGUGUUACUCACCCGUCCGCCGCUAAUCCGUUCCCGAAGGAACUUCAUCGCUCGACUUGCAUGUGUUAAGCACGCCGCCAGCGUUCUCUGAGCCAGGAUCAAACUCU
Molecule: ribosomal RNA, 480 nt
Filed under: uncultured Clostridium sp.
Lineage: Bacteria; Bacillati; Bacillota; Clostridia; Eubacteriales; Clostridiaceae
Description: partial 16S ribosomal RNA
Source: RNAcentral